ACACUCCUACGGGAGGCAGCAGUGGGGAAUUUUGGACAAUGGGCGAAAGCCUGAUCCAGCAAUGCCGCGUGUGUGAAGAAGGCCUUCGGGUUGUAAAGCACUUUUGUCCGGAAAGAAAUCCUUGGCUCUAAUACAGUCGGGGGAUGACGGUACCGGAAGAAUAAGCACCGGCUAACUACGUGCCAGCAGCCGCGGUAAUACGUAGGGUGCGAGCGUUAAUCGGAAUUACUGGGCGUAAAGCGUGCGCAGGCGGUUUGCUAAGACCGAUGUGAAAUCCCCGGGCUCAACCUGGGAACUGCAUUGGUGACUGGCAGGCUAGAGUAUGGCAGAGGGGGGUAGAAUUCCACGUGUAGCAGUGAAAUGCGUAGAGAUGUGGAGGAAUACCGAUGGCGAAGGCAGCCCCCUGGGCCAAUACUGACGCUCAUGCACGAAAGCGUGGGGAGCAAACAGGAUUAGAAACCCGUGUAGUCC
This 471-nucleotide ribosomal RNA is filed under the name uncultured organism. Its description in RNAcentral is "partial 16S ribosomal RNA". It matches the Rfam family "Bacterial small subunit ribosomal RNA", at positions 333 to 796 of the family's 1533-position model. The record is from RNAcentral.